Molecule: long non-coding RNA, 3386 nt
Filed under: Lynx pardinus (Iberian lynx)
Lineage: Eukaryota; Metazoa; Chordata; Mammalia; Carnivora; Felidae
Source: RNAcentral
AGAAGAAAGAGGGAAUCCCAAGCAGGCUCCAUUUCCUGACCCUGAGAGUGAGACUCUGUCUCACGACCCUGAGAUCAUGACCUGAGCCAAAAUCAAGAGUCAGACACUUAACUAACUGAGUCACUCAGGGGCUCCUGGAUGAUACAUUCUUAAAGGAUGCUGAUUUUAUCUUGGUUUCCUCACUUCUUUAAAUUGUCUUGCACACUCUUUGGUCUGUCGUUUGUUGCUUCUUUCUGUGUUUUUCCUGAUUAUACUCAAGGAUUUAUCACAUGGAUAUAACAAAGGGGAAAAAAAGUCAAAUCAAAAGGAAAAAAAGUACCAUCUAACAGAACAAGUAGGGCACCUGGGUGGCUUAGUUGGUUAACCGUUCAACUUCUGCUCGGGUCAUGAUCUUGUGGUUCAUGGGUUCGAGCCCCACAUUGGGCUCUGUGCUGACAGCUCAGAGCCUGGAGCCUACUUCAGAUUCUGUGUCUCCCUCUCUCUCUGCCCCUCCCCCACUCGCAUUCUGUCUCCUCUCAAAAAUGAAUAAACAUUAAAAAAAACAAGCAAAAUGUAGUUUUUAUUUUUUUAUAGUAAUGACAUCUGGGUGUAAUUUAGGUUAUUUUUCACUUUAAACAAGUUACUGUCUCAAUAUGAGGAAAAACCUGUAAAAACUUGAGUGUAGACUUCUGUAGAUGGUGUGUGCCUGUGGUAUAAGAUCUUACGGAAUCUCUGUUACUACAUUUUGCUUAAUGGAAAAGAAUAGCAGUGACAGAUCCAUAAUUAUCUGUGGACAGCUGCAUUUUGGGUUACGUGUCCUGUCACAAAUAUAUGUGGUGCCAGUUACCUUGUAUUUGUUAUAUGAUGGAGAAAAGAGUGGGUAUUAUAAAACCGGUAAUGUGAGUCAGAUUUAUACAUGGGCUUGCAGUGUAAGUAGGGAUCCUCAGACAGCCUCUCUAAGACAUUGACCAACAUCCUUUCUUGCUUUCUUAGUUUUCUUAGAGAUGGCAUGGGGGGAUAGUUGGGAACUGGUAGGACAGAGGUGUACUGAGUUCUACCUGACAGUGAUUUAGAGUAACGCUUUGCAUCGAUCUCUGCUUAUUCUCCUAUAACACAUGUCCUUAUGCUUACUUUUUAAAAGGGUUGUGCCUUUAUUAAGCUGUGACCUUCUUGAGGGCAAGGACCUCAUUCGCUCAUUCAUUAUUUUGAAGAAAAGUUAAUUCUUUUUUUUAAUUUUUUAUUUUGAAGAAAAGUUAAUUCUGAAGAAUGCAGUGGUUCAUGAGCUUGCCCAGUAUUUGUUUCUCCAGACAAAUCUCUUUAUCAGCAAAGAGAUGAAUGCACCUGGAUAAUAGAUAAUUGGUAUAUUUAAUCAGUUACCUAAUGACUGAGAGGAUUUGAUUCUCACUCUAUAUUAUUUUAUUACUGAAACAGACUGCCCAGUAGAUUUUAUAAACAUUCUCUAGAGAACAAUUAGGUUUGCAGUGAGUUGUUUUACUUAGAAUGCCACUUGGAAUUAAAUGUUUAUUUGUGCCCUCUAUCUUGAUAUAAUCGGAGCGCAAUUUAAAAGUACUGCAGUGUCUGUGGUCACAGAACUUGCUGCCCUUUAAAAAACAGGCUACUUGAGUAUUGUUUCUCUUCUAUUUGGCAGACACAGAUGCAGUAGUUAAUAAAGGUCAUUUUGCUACCUAGUCAUGUGAGCUUUUAAUGACUGUUACCUGAACACCUGCUAGUUACAUCACUAUGGUUACCAAAAACAUUCAACACAAUAUAGAUGCGGUACUUUGGAAAUCUGACUUGGGCUCAUCUAAAUUGCUAUUUAAGAACAUUUUAAUAUUCCUUUAAAUUUUAAGUAAUUGUGGGAAAGCCCUUAUCUUGCUGUAAACAAUCACACAUGUGAAUGAAAACCUUUGGAAUGGUUAUACUUGAUAAUCUUGGCAUCCUGUGGGCUGAUUUCUUGGUGUCUAGGAAUUAAUUGUCUGUGCAGAAUUGGGUGGGGGGAAGCAGUGACUUUCUUAUGCAUUGAUUAUCCUCUGAAACUUUGAUUGGAGAUGUGGGGUUUGGAGUAGAGUUGAAAGGAAAGGAAAAGUUCAUUCAGAUUCUGCUGGGAGAAAUUUGAAGAGUGAGAAAGAGUAUAUUGAUUAUGGGUUUUCAAAUAGGACCAAGUAUUUUUAAAAUUUUGAAAUAAUUUCAGAGUCACAGCGGGUUGCAAAACAUAGUACUGGGAGGUCCCAGGUACCCUUCACCAGUUCCCCCUAUGGCAACGUGUUACAGAACUGUAGUUAAAUAUGAAAACCAGGAUAUUGACAUUAUGGCAACUUACAGACUUUAUUCAAAUUUCACCAGUUUUAUAUGCUGUGUGUGUGUGUGUGUGUGUGUGUGUGUGUAGUUUAUGCAGUUAGCACAUGCAUAGAUUUGUGUAACCACUGUGCUUAAAAUCAGGCAGAGUGCCUGGAAGUCCAGGGUGGGCACACUCUGUAGGGCAGUUACAGUGGUGGAGUAAGGGCCUUAAGUAAGCCAGUGCUUUGCAUUCUUCUCAGUCACAUUCAGUCUUUGUCCUGACGUUUGCAAGAGAGCUGCUUUGUCUCCAUCUUUAGGUCCAAGAGCCAGGAGGAAAAGGAGAAGGGGAACUCCUGAAUGGGUGUCACCUGGAUAAAGAAAGCAUAAACACUUCCUUAAACCACUAGCCAGAACUGUAUCACAUGGCUGCAAGGUGGCCUGAGAAGCAAGUAUUUUUUAACUUGAAACAUUCUUGCUGAAAAACUGGGGUUCUAGCAGUACGGGAGAUGUAGGAAUAUGGGAUACACAACUAGCAGUGUUUGUUGGAGAAUGCAGAUAUAAAUGGUAAUGAAAUAUCAUGUGUGCCUAAGACUAGCUAAAAUUCAAAAAUAUGGAUAAUAUUCAGUGCAAUGAAAGAGGUACUAACACGUUGUUUGGUAUGUUUUUUGGUGGGCAGUUUCGUAUUCUUUAUCAGAAUUAAAAGUCAUGUUUUAUCUGGCCCAUCAUUUCAAAGCUGUGAUUCUGUUUUGUAGAACACACUGUUCCUGCUUAUGUGCAUAAAGGUCUGUGUGCAGCGUUAUUCACAUAAUAUGAAACCACCUGAAAUUACUUGGAUAACUCAGUAGGAGAAAGAUUAGUACACAGUGAUCUGUCCAUUCAGUGGAGCACAGUACAGCCGGCCAUUAAAGAUAAUAAGCUUGAUUGAUACGAACAGAUCUGGAAAACAGCCAUGAAAUAUAUGUGAGGAGAAAAUUGCAGAACAGUAUGCAUAGUACGGUUCUCUUUGCUGCCCUCUCGUACGUACGUAUGUACGUGUGAUGAGUGCGUGUGUGUGUGUAUUUGGUGUGAUUUUAUCUGUUUUGGAAUAUGCAGAUGAAAAAGACUGGAUGGAAACACCCUGAAGAACAGUU